This 107-nucleotide ribosomal RNA is filed under the name Pteropus alecto (black flying fox). RNAcentral also lists the same sequence under 1 other name. Lineage: Eukaryota; Metazoa; Chordata; Mammalia; Chiroptera; Pteropodidae. The record is from RNAcentral.
UCCCACUUCUAGGAAUUGCUGUAAAAAACCUACAGGAAGCUAAGCAGCAUCCAGCCUGGUUAGUACUAGGAUGGGAGACCACCUAGGAAGACCAGGUGCUGUAGGCG